This 241-nucleotide unclassified non-coding RNA is filed under the name plant metagenome. RNAcentral describes it as "partial contains small subunit ribosomal RNA, internal transcribed spacer 1, and 5.8S ribosomal RNA". The record is from RNAcentral.
UUUCCGUAGGUGAACCUGCGGAAGGAUCAUUAUUGAAUGAAACACUUCUGGCUUUAUGCUGUUGUGCUGGCCCUUUGGGCAAUGUGCACACGGCUCUGGUCGCUUGUUUCUUCUGUUCCACCUGUGCACUGCCUGUAGACACGCUGUGUCUAUGAUAUUUGUUAACACACAACAAUGUUAGUUGGCAUGUUAUAUAUAAUAAUAAGAUAUACAACUUUCAACAACGGAUCUCUUGGCUCUC